RNAcentral lists this ribosomal RNA (1309 nucleotides) under uncultured Sebacina. RNAcentral's name for it is "eukaryotic LSU rRNA". The stretch from base 635 to 1309 matches the Rfam family "Eukaryotic large subunit ribosomal RNA", at positions 1 to 656 of the family's 3401-position model. Lineage: Eukaryota; Fungi; Basidiomycota; Agaricomycetes; Sebacinales; Sebacinaceae. The record is from RNAcentral.
UUUAGAGGAAGUAAAAGUCGUAACAAGGUUUCCGUAGGUGAACCUGCGGAAGGAUCAUUAGUGAAUCUUCAAAGUCGGCUCGUCGGAUUGUGCUGGUGGGCAACCACAUGUGCACGUCUACGGGUCGCAAAUCCACACACCUGUGCAUCUAUGACUCUGAGUGCCGCUUUGCAUGGCCCUUGAUUGGACCUGGCGCUCGAGUACUUUUCACACACUCUUGAAUGUAACGGAAUGUCAAUGUUGUGCACAAUGUACAAACGAAACAACUUUCAACAACGGAUCUCUUGGCUCUCGCAUCGAUGAAGAACGCAGCGAAAUGCGAUAAGUAAUGUGAAUUGCAGAAUUCAGUGAAUCAUCGAAUCUUUGAACGCACCUUGCACCCYUUGGUAUUCCGAAGGGUACACCCGUUUGAGYGUCAUUGUAAUCUCACUACCAUCGACUUUGGUCUUUUCGGUAUGUGGACUUGGAUGCUGCCGUUGUUGUCGACGGCUCGUCUGAAAUGCCUGAGUGUACCCCGCUUUGCGGCGUAUUCGGUGUGAUACAUCUUCACCGGAGUUGAUCCUUGUGGUCGCGUCUGUAAUGGUGUGGCUCUAUGCUUCCAACCGUCUCUUUGGUUAGACAAUCUCUGACAAUUUGACCUCAAAUCGGGUGGGACUACCCGCUGAACUUAAGCAUAUCAAUAAGCGGAGGAAAAGAAACUAACAAGGAUUCCCCUAGUAACGGCGAGUGAAGAGGGAAAAGCUCAAAUUUUGAAUCUGGCGUCUUUGACUCCCGAGUUGUAAUCUAGAGAAGUGUUUUCCGUGUCGGACCGUGCACAAGUUCCCUGGAACGGGGCGUCAUAGAGGGUGAGAAUCCCGUAUAUGGCAUGGACUACCGAUGCUUUUGUGAUACACUCUCAACGAGUCGAGUUGUUUGGGAAUGCAGCUCAAAAUGGGUGGUAAAUUCCAUCUAAAGCUAAAUAUUGGCGAGAGACCGAUAGCGAACAAGUACCGUGAGGGAAAGAUGAAAAGCACUUUGGAAAGAGAGUGAAACAGUACGUGAAAUUGUUGAAAGGGAAGCGUUUGAAGUCAGUCAUAUCUGGCGGGAUUCAGCCGGGCUUUUGCCAGGUGUACUUCUCGUCCGAUGGGUCAGCAUCAAUUUCGACCGGGGGAAAAAGGCAUUGGGAAUGUGGCUGUCUUCGGGCAGUGUUAUAGCCUCGUGUUGUAUGCCUCGGUUGGGAUUGAGGAACGCAGCGCGCCGCAUGGCCAGGGGUUCGCCUCUUGACACGCGCUUAGGAUGCUGGCAUAAUGGCUUUAAGCGACCCGUCUUG